AUUGAACGCUGGCGGCAGGCCUAGCACAUGCAAGUCGAGCGGAUGAAGGGAGCUUGCUCCUGGAUUCAGCGGCGGACGGGUGAGUAAUGCCUAGGAAUCUGCCUGGUAGUGGGGGAUAACGUCCGGAAACGGGCGCUAAUACCGCAUACGUCCUGAGGGAGAAAGUGGGGGAUCUUCGGACCUCACGCUAUCAGAUGAGCCUAGGUCGGAUUAGCUAGUUGGUGGGGUAAAGGCCUACCAAGGCGACGAUCCGUAACUGGUCUGAGAGGAUGAUCAGUCACGCUGGAACUGAGACACGGUCCAGACUCCUACGGGAGGCAGCAGUGGGGAAUAUUGGACAAUGGGCGAAAGCCUGAUCCAGCCAUGCCGCGUGUGUGAAGAAGGUCUUCGGAUUGUAAAGCACUUUAAGUUGGGAGGAAGGGCAGUAAGUUAAUACCUUGCUGUUUUGACGUUACCAACAGAAUAAGCACCGGCUAACUUCGUG
RNAcentral lists this ribosomal RNA (484 nucleotides) under uncultured bacterium. RNAcentral's name for it is "partial 16S ribosomal RNA". It matches the Rfam family "Bacterial small subunit ribosomal RNA", at positions 30 to 507 of the family's 1533-position model. The record is from RNAcentral.